GAUGAACGCUAGCUACAGGCUUAACACAUGCAAGUCGAGGGGCAGCAUGGGCUUAGCUUGCUAAGCCCGAUGGCGACCGGCGCACGGGUGAGUAACACGUAUCCAACCUUCCGGUAACUCCGGUAUAGCCUUUCGAAAGAAAGAUUAAUCCCGGAUAGUAUGGUGAUUCCGCAUGGUUUCUCCAUUAAAGGAUUCCGGUUACCGAUGGGGGAUGCGUUCCAUUAGCUUGUUGGUAGGGUAACGGCCUACCAAGGCAACGAUGGGUAGGGGAACUGAGAGGUUUAUCCCCCACAUUGGUACUGAGACACGGACCAA
RNAcentral lists this ribosomal RNA (315 nucleotides) under uncultured bacterium. Its description in RNAcentral is "bacterial SSU rRNA". It matches the Rfam family "Bacterial small subunit ribosomal RNA", at positions 28 to 334 of the family's 1533-position model. The record is from RNAcentral.